This 254-nucleotide ribosomal RNA is filed under the name uncultured bacterium. RNAcentral's name for it is "partial 16S ribosomal RNA". It matches the Rfam family "Bacterial small subunit ribosomal RNA", at positions 524 to 776 of the family's 1533-position model. The record is from RNAcentral.
UACGUAGGUGGCGAGCGUUGUCCGGAUUUACUGGGCGUAAAGGGCGCGUAGGCGGCGCGGUAAGUCACUUGUGAAAUCUCUGAGCUUAACUCAGAACGGCCAAGUGAUACUGCAGUGCUAGAGUGCAGAAAGGGCAAUCGGAAUUCUUGGUGUAGCGGUGAAAUGCGUAGAUAUCAAGAGGAACACCUGAGGCGAAGGCGGGUUGCUAGGCUGACACUGACGCUGAGUGCGCGAAAGCCAGGGGAGCAAACGGG